This is a small nuclear RNA of Grammomys surdaster, 164 nucleotides long. RefSeq annotates it as U1 spliceosomal RNA. The record is from RefSeq and is a predicted model, not a curated record. NCBI's taxonomy places the organism in Eukaryota, Metazoa, Chordata, Mammalia, Rodentia, Muridae. The transcript has a single exon.
UUACUUACCUGAUAGGGAAGACAUGAUAAUGGUGGUGGUUUUCUUGGGGUGAAGCUCACCCAUUGCACUGGGGAUGUGCUGACUGACCCCUAUGCUUUCCACGAGUGUGGAAACUUGGGUGCAUAAUUUGUGUUAGUAGAGGACUGUAUUCACAUUCUCCUCUA